GACGAACGCUGGCGGCGUGCUUAACACAUGCAAGUCGAACGGAAAGGCCCUGCUUUUGGGGGGUGCUCGAGUGGCGAACGGGUGAGUAACACGUGAGUAACCUGCCCUUGACUUUGGGGUAACUUCAGGAAACUGGGGCUAAUACCGGAUAGGAUCUCCUGCUGCAUGGUGGGGGUUGGAAAGUUUCGGCGGUUGGGGAUGGACUCGCGGCUUAUCAGCUCGUUGGUUGGGUAGUGGAUUACCAAGGCUAUGACGGGUAGCAGGCCUGGGAGGAUAACCGGCCACGCUAGGACUGAGAUGCGGCACAGCCUCGAAUGGGAGGCAGCGGUGGAGAGUGUUACACAAGAGGCGGGACGAUGAUGUGACAACGCAGCGUGGCGGAUGACAGCCUUCGGGUUGUAAAGCGCUGUCGCCUGUGACGAGACGUUAGUGACGGUAAUGGGUGAAGAAGCACCGGCUAACUACGUG
RNAcentral lists this ribosomal RNA (468 nucleotides) under uncultured bacterium. RNAcentral describes it as "partial 16S ribosomal RNA". It matches the Rfam family "Bacterial small subunit ribosomal RNA", at positions 28 to 507 of the family's 1533-position model. The record is from RNAcentral.